GAUCAUGGCUCAGGACGAACGCUGGCGGCGUGCCUAAUACAUGCAAGUAGAACGCUGAAGAGAGGAGCUUGCUCUUCUUGGAAGAGUUGCGAACGGGUGAGUAACGCGUAGGUAACCUGCCUUGUAGCGGGGGAUAACUAUUGGAAACGAUAGCUAAUACCGCAUAACAAUGGGUGACCCAUGUCAUUCAUUUGAAAGGGGCAACUGCUCCACUACAAGAUGGACCUGCGUUGUAUUAG
Molecule: ribosomal RNA, 239 nt
Filed under: uncultured bacterium
Lineage: Bacteria
Description: partial 16S ribosomal RNA
Rfam family: Bacterial small subunit ribosomal RNA
Source: RNAcentral